This 253-nucleotide ribosomal RNA is filed under the name uncultured bacterium. RNAcentral's name for it is "partial 16S ribosomal RNA". It matches the Rfam family "Bacterial small subunit ribosomal RNA", at positions 524 to 776 of the family's 1533-position model. The record is from RNAcentral.
UACGUAGGGGGCAAGCGUUGUCCGGAUUUACUGGGCGUAAAGAGCGUGUAGGCGGCCAAGCAGGUCCGUUGUGAAAACUGGAGGCUUAACCUCCAGACGUCGACGGAAACUGCGUGGCUAGAGUCCGGAAGAGGAGAGUGGAAUUCCUGGUGUAGCGGUGAAAUGCGCAGAUAUCAGGAAGAACACCAAUGGCGAAGGCAGCUCUCUGGGACGGUACUGACGCUGAGACGCGAAAGCGUGGGGAGCGAACAGG